Molecule: ribosomal RNA, 402 nt
Filed under: uncultured bacterium
Lineage: Bacteria
Description: bacterial SSU rRNA
Rfam family: Bacterial small subunit ribosomal RNA
Source: RNAcentral
UGGGGAAUAUUGGACAAUGGGGGCAACCCUGAUCCAGCCAUGCCGCGUGAGUGAUGAAGGCCUUCGGGUUGUAAAGCUCUUUUGGCGGGGACGAUGAUGACGGUACCCGCAGAAUAAGCCCCGGCUAACUUCGUGCCAGCAGCCGCGGUAAGACGAAGGGGGCAAGCGUUGUUCGGAAUUACUGGGCGUAAAGGGCGCGUAGGCGGUUUGCUUAGUCAGGCGUGAAAGCCCUGGGCUUAACCUGGGAUGUGCGCUUGAUACUGGCAGGCUUGAGUGUGGGAGAGGUUGGUGGAAUUCCCAGUGUAGAGGUGAAAUUCGUAGAUAUUGGGAAGAACACCGGUGGCGAAGGCGGCCAACUGGACCACAACUGACGCUGAGGCGCGAAAGCGUGGGGAGCAAACA